GAUGAAGAACGUAGCGAAAUGCGAUACUUGGUGUGAAUUGCAGAAUCCCGUGAACCAUCGAGUCUUUGAACGCAAGUUGCGCCCGAAGCCAUUAGGCCGAGGGCACGCCUGCCUGGGCGUCACACGUCGUUGCCCCCCCAUCUACUCCUUCGGGAUUGCGGGGGGCGGAUGAUGGCCUCCCGUGCGCCUCGCCGCGCGGUUGGCAUAAAUGCCAAGUCCUCGGCGACGCACGCCACGACAAUCGGUGGUUGCGAAACCUCGGUUGCCCGUCGUGUGCGGUCGUCGCGCAUCGAGGGCUCGAGAAAAUUGCCGGGUUCCGGCUCGGCUUUCAACGCGACCCCAGGUCAGGCGGGGUUACCCGCUGAAUUUAAGCAUAUCAAUAAGCGGAGGA
RNAcentral lists this unclassified non-coding RNA (391 nucleotides) under soil metagenome. Its description in RNAcentral is "partial contains 5.8S ribosomal RNA, internal transcribed spacer 2, and large subunit ribosomal RNA". The stretch from base 1 to 122 matches the Rfam family "5.8S ribosomal RNA", at positions 35 to 154 of the family's 154-position model. The record is from RNAcentral.